This 448-nucleotide ribosomal RNA is filed under the name uncultured bacterium. Its description in RNAcentral is "bacterial SSU rRNA". It matches the Rfam family "Bacterial small subunit ribosomal RNA", at positions 329 to 793 of the family's 1533-position model. The record is from RNAcentral.
UUCCAGACUCCUACGGGAGGCAGCAGUAAGGGAUAUUGGUCAAUGGGGGAAACCCUGAACCAGCAACGCCGCGUGAGGGAAGACGGUUUUCGGAUUGUAAACCUCUGUCCUCUGUGAAGAUGAUGACGGUAGCAGAGGAGGAAGCUCCGGCUAACUACGUGCCAGCAGCCGCGGUAAUACGGAGGGUGCGAGCGUUAAUCGGAAUUACUGGGCGUAAAGCGCUCGUAGGCGGUAUGUCAAGUCAAGGGUGAAAUCCCCGCGCUCAACGUGGGAACUGCCUUUGAAACUGGCAAACUGGAGUGUGUGAGAGGAUAGUGGAAUUCCAGGUGUAGGAGUGAAAUCCGUAGAUAUCUGGAGGAACAUCAGUGACGAAGGCGACUAUCUGGCACAUAACUGACGCUGAGGAGCGAAAGCGUGGGUAGUAAACAGGAUUAGAUACCCCUGUAUG